Molecule: long non-coding RNA, 1016 nt
Filed under: Eucalyptus grandis
Lineage: Eukaryota; Viridiplantae; Streptophyta; Magnoliopsida; Myrtales; Myrtaceae
Description: long non-coding RNA (EGRA_LNC001374)
Source: RNAcentral
CUAGGCUCAAAUCUGAGUGGACUUGACCUAGUUAAACACAUCCAAAAAUCUUGAAAAAAUUACAAGACAUGCAUAAGAUUAUUUGAAACAAAACUCAUGAGGCAAGAUUGUCCAGAAAUCAUCACAGAAGGCUACAUGAAAAUAGUAAAUUCUCAUUUUGGAACAAGAGCAUAACUAAAAAUCCACUUAAACUCCUAUAGAAUCGCUCAUCUUCGGAUGUGUUUUUGAGCAUCAAAAGACACUUGAUUGGGCAUGCGACCUAUUGAUUCGAAGCUUGCAAUGUUUUAUUUUAAAUGUCUAAGAGGCCUCGAGUUGAAAUGAGGUUGUUUAGGACCUCAUUUUGGCCAAAUCAUUGGAUCAGUCCUAUAGCUAUGAAAUUGCAAAUUCAAGUUAAAUCAACUACAAUCAUUCAAGUUCAUUCAAAAACACUCAUCCACAGCAAAUCAAUAUCUCAAGUCUCUGUCAAAACGCCCUCCCUAUGAGAGAGAACCUACAUAAAAGGAAAAUUAUUCAAGAUCCAUUAUGCCCGUUCUACCACUCUAGUAUCGAAACUACAGAGCGCCUUUUUUUCUUGUGUAAAUGGACAAGGAAAAUAUGGGAUGACUCGAGAUUUGAUGGGAUCAGACCCAGAAAUAGCAUAAAGCGAACAGAUCAGUGGAUCUUCGAAACUUUUAGAGGAGAUCAGCUCUUACCUGCACGAGAGCUCACUGGUAUGCUUCUGUGGAACAUCUAGAAGGCGAGAAAUAGCUGGAUUUUUCGAGCAAAAUACCCCAGACCAGCAGAUCUACUGAUUUCGGCACAGGAACAACAGAUGUCUUUCAGUCGAGGAAAGUCAAAACAAAAAUUACGACAACUCACACGAGACAAACCUAAUCAGUGGAGACCUCCGGAAGGACGGGAUCUGAAGCUGAACGUUGAUGCAGCAUGGUGUUCAGGCGAGUUUUUGUGUUCUGUGGCUGGAGCAGUGCGUGAUUCGUCUGGAAGAGCUAUCGAAGGCUUCGCUUCCACGGCUAGGG